Helicoverpa zea (corn earworm) is the source of this 210-nucleotide long non-coding RNA. RefSeq lists it as uncharacterized. NCBI's taxonomy places the organism in Eukaryota, Metazoa, Arthropoda, Insecta, Lepidoptera, Noctuidae. The record is from RefSeq and is a predicted model, not a curated record. The transcript is spliced from 2 exons.
GCCACAGAGUGUUUCUGGUAGCACGUGUGUCUAGGAUUUUUGUUUAUUUUGAGCGUUUAAGUGACUUUUUGUGACUUGUUUUCGUUUUUGUGUGUUGUCCUUGUGUUCGUUUUUGUGUGUGAACGUUUUCCGUCUAGUCAAUGCCGUCUUACUAACUCGACAAGUUCCACAAUCAGUGAAAGAACGCAUUUUUCUUAAAGUUCACUAUAA